UAAAAUUGCUCUCCGCAAAUUCUUCCAGCUUCAUUUCCCCAUCUCUGUGGACACGCUGCCGGCAGGAUCCGGCGAUUUUAUUCCCUCUUGAGAAAACGCACAAAGUAUCGGUGCCAGGCUGCAGAACAAGCCCAACAGCCUCGUUUCUUUUCUCUCCCCCCCCCGCCCCGCUUCUCCUCCUUUUGUUCGCGUCUUGCUCCCGGCUGGGCGCAGUAUCGCACCUCGUUGGAAGGACAAGAUCCUCCUCUGCUGGCCAUGAGCAAUACGGCACGGCGGCGAGGGGCCUUGCCACGCUGCUGUGCUGCCCCACUAGGCCUCCAUGCUCUGUCCCCCGCCUGUAGUCCCCUUCCUACAUCCCCAUCUGCAUCCCCUUCUGCAAACCACCUCUCACAUCCCACAUCCCCUGUUCCACCACUUGCAUGCUAUAUUCCACCCUCCUCAUUCUGCAUACCCCAUCCCAUGUCCUCCAUUCCAUCUCCCUCAUACUGCAUCCCACCUCCCACAUUCCCCAUCCCACCUCCCAUUUUCCCAUCCCAUGCCCUGCAGCCCCCUGCAUGGCACAUAGGAAAGGGCAAUUUCAUGCCUGCAGGAGGGAAGGAGAGGGACUUUUUGCUGGCCUCAGCCAAGCAGCACCAUUCAUGUAUGGGACCAAAAGAUGAAAUUUGGCUUUGUGUCAGCUAGCACAGGUGGAGGUUGUCUGCAGCAGUGUGAUCUGGUGGAUAUCUUAAGGGAGGAGUAAAGGUCUACCUGGGGUUUUAUCCCCAACAAUUCUGCAUCGCACAUCUGAGGGGGAAAGAGAAACAGCACAGUGGAGCUGUGAUAAAGGUUGGGUUGAUCUCCUGGGAGCAUUUGUUCCAAGGAACAUUUGUGUUGUGUCAGCAGGUAGUGGCCUUAAUCCAAAACUAAGAAUGCAAAUCUAGGGCCUAGCCACCCUGAAGUACAAAGGAGUAAUGGAUGCUGAGGGAAACCUGUAUAUUUUCUAGGGCAGCAGGUUAUUGCAAGAAGGAAGCCAGGUCAUCUUGCUGUCUUGCAAACACCUCUGUCCAUGGGAGAAGGUUUGAAGGGGGACAGGUUUGAGGGAAAAGUAGUAAUAAUAGGAAUAAUAAUGUGUUCUCUUCUUUACAUCUGAGCAAUGAUGCAGUGCAUACCUCAUAUAGCCCAGGCUGGCACUUUGCCCUUCCCAUGUAGAGUAAAUGGCUGCCCUGAGUGCAGGGAAGUUUAGCAGUCUCCUUGAAGUGAAAAAUUCUGCCCACAAACCAACUCAGCAAAUGGCACAAAGGAGAAGUAUGGAAAGCUGUGGAGGAAAACAAGGUGCAGGUACACAGAGGCUGCACCGUAAAGCAUGGAAGCCAAGCAGAAAAGCCCCCACUCCCUGCCUGCAGGGGGCUGUGAGCAGGCCUCAGGCAACCUCAGGUGCAUGUGCUGGGGAUAGCAGCAGGUGUGAGUUGUUCUGAGUAAGUGGCAAGGUUCUUAUUUGCUGCUGCUUAUUCAUUUGCUCUCAGUUGCAGCUAGGUUUUACCUGAGAAUACUGGCAUAGCAGCUCCUGUGAUUUCUUAUAUGUCUACUACUAGUUCUUCCUGGUCCUCCCUGACCUACCUGCUGAAUGGUAAGUGGCUUUGAUUUCUUCCAUUAAAUUCUGCAUGUGAGCCUGAGAUGUUGGCAGCCUGGUCCGUCGAGAUCCAUGGCUGAUGGUCAGUGUUGAGUUUUAACUGCAUGCGCAGCUUUGUAGCACUUAAAGCAACAGCUGAGAUCAAAUAGGAAGUUAUUGUGCUUUGGACAGGCAGCAUGGUCUGCACUCCCAGGCCUUCCUGCUUCUCGCAUUGGUGCAGAAGGCAACUAUGUCAUUUUGUUGUCAUUUUGGUCCAACCUGUGAGUCCUGUGGCUCUAUAUCCGUACAGCUCUGUUUCUUUCCCCAGAUUAAUUCUGCUCUCCUUAUAGAAUGUUCCAGAUCAGUAUUUAGUUUCCACAUCUUCAGCUGCAGCUAACAACAGGCUAUUUCACUAUAGUGAAACAGCCCCAAAACUGUUUGAAAGGAGUGAGGGUUUGGCUGUUCGCUGCUCUUAUUCCUUUUGCAAUUUCUUUCUGAAGUCACAAAUGCUCACAGCCAAAGCUUUUGUGGAAGGGAGGAAAUACCAAGAGGUCUGUGCAGAAGCAAGUGGGAGACCUACUGGUAUUUGAAGUCUCAUCGCAAUUUCAGCUUCAUAAAAAUAACUUUGUAUUAUUCACAGACCCUCAGACAGAAAGUAUUUAGAGAGGUGGCAGGAAAACUCAUCCUGCUUAAAUUAGGCCAGAAUUCAGUUCGUCCCCAGAGGUUCAGAGAGCUUGAAUAAAUGCUGGGUGCCUUCAGUGUUGGCAAUAAGCUUUAAAUUUGCACAUCACUCAUCUCGACAACUGCAGUCCAACAAAGUUACCUUGCCAUUCGGGUCACUCGAUGGCAUCCUAAUGCAUCACUUUCCCACUUGGAACAUUAGUCAUGACUUGAUCCAGGCAAGGUUUUGAAAACAGUGUGACUGCCAGCAUUGAGAUAUCUGUUCUCCCUAUAAGAGACAGUCCGUGUAAGCUAACGAACAAGAGGAUAUUGAUCAGAAAUCCAUUACGUGAUUGACGGCUCUUGGCAAUGUGAAAAAGUGUGGAUGAAAGCUUGAGCAGUUUAAAAGAUCACCCAGACCUCAAAGCUGAUUUGAAGCUUUAAAAGUCAAUCUCUUGCCUAUCAAUUAUGGGGGGAUUUUUUUUUUUUGUACUACACAGAAGAAAGUUAUUCUUUGAAAAUUUGCAUGCAGGAUGUCUAAUUUAAUUUCGUGUAAUAGUCACAUUUUGGUGACAAAUGUCAGAUCACUGCUUUUUAAAGCAUGUCAAGGUUUUCCAGCACUUACAGAGAAUGAGCACUCUGAUUUAGUAAUGUGUUUAAAUCAACCAGUGUAUCAGAUUUGGUGUGUUAAUUAUGUGCUCAGAUUAAAAAAAAUACUGCUUUUGCUUUACUAAAUCCAUGGCUUGUUAUGAAUAAUUAAAAAAAAAAAAAUGGAAUGGGAACACUUCUUAAGUAAGAGAUGUGGAAACCAAAUAGUUAUUUAGUGAUAUAGCAGUAAUAAACAGGAAGACAUCUUUGUUUGAUGUACCCAAGUCAGGGAAGUCUGUUCUUCUUUAUUCUUAUGGUGCUUAAUAAAUGAUUGAUUCAUUGCUAAGAGAUGUACCAAGGCAGCAAAACGAAGUGACAGUAUCAUCAUUUCUGAGCACUGUCCUUACAGUUGGUAGAUGUUUCUACAAUGGCUUUGCUGUCUGUGCUUGUUUGGAGCACUUGUUUUUCCUCUAUCAAUUCAGCAAAGCCCUUGCGCUCCCUGUAGCGCAUGCUGGGCAUGUCUGCUGGGUGCUCUCAGCAGCCUCAACUCCUCUGCUCAUCCUUCACAACUUUUACCAGCUAUGUCUUUUAGAGAAAAAGAUAGAAAAAAGGCUACCCUGUCUCUCCGAAUAGCUCCUUAAAGUACCCGUGGAACAAAAGCUGACGUUCCCUGCUAAGAUUUUGCAAAUAAACAGGGGAAACAAAACUAGGCUUCUGCACAAUAUUCCCUCAAACUCGAGUCCGCCUGCAGAAUCUCCCCUCAGACGAAGUGAGCUUGCAGGUUGCAUUUCAGGCAAAACCUUCUUUUUGUUUUCCUUUCUUAACUACAUCGCAUUAAAUUUAAUUUUGUUCACAGUAGACAAUGUCCUUAUCUUCCAACGAGAUCCUUCUGUUCCUCAGCACAGCGCAUACUUCUGCAACACUUGCACACUGUCGAGACUCGGCUCCUGUGGAAAUAAUGAGCUGAGUAAAAGGAGUCUUGACUUGACAUAGCAAUAAAUGAGGUGAAACUUUUUUUUUUGUGAGAAACGAGAGUUGGCAUGUAGGAAGGGGGGGAA
Meleagris gallopavo (turkey) is the source of this 3894-nucleotide non-coding RNA. NCBI's taxonomy places the organism in Eukaryota, Metazoa, Chordata, Aves, Galliformes, Phasianidae. The record is from RefSeq and is a predicted model, not a curated record.